Molecule: ribosomal RNA, 253 nt
Filed under: uncultured bacterium
Lineage: Bacteria
Description: partial 16S ribosomal RNA
Rfam family: Bacterial small subunit ribosomal RNA
Source: RNAcentral
UACGGGGGGGGCAAGCGUUGUUCGGAAUUACUGGGCGUAAAGGGUUUGUAGGUGGCCAACUAAGUCAGACGUGAAAUCCCUCAGCUUAACUGGGGAACUGCGUCUGAUACUGGAUGGCUUGAGUUCGGGAGAGGGAUGCGGAAUUCCAGGUGUAGCGGUGAAAUGCGUAGAUAUCUGGAGGAACACCGGUGGCGAAGGCGGCAUCCUGGACCGAUACUGACGCUGAGGAGCGAAAGCCAGGGGAGCAAACGGG